RNAcentral lists this transfer RNA (82 nucleotides) under Thelohanellus kitauei. Its description in RNAcentral is "tRNA-Ser for anticodon GCU". It matches the Rfam family "tRNA". From Rfam's summary of the family: Transfer RNA (tRNA) molecules are approximately 80 nucleotides in length. Their secondary structure includes four short double-helical elements and three loops (D, anti-codon, and T loops). The record is from Rfam by way of RNAcentral. Lineage: Eukaryota; Metazoa; Cnidaria; Myxozoa; Bivalvulida; Myxobolidae.
GACGAGGUGGCCGAGCGGUUAAGGCGAUGGUCUGCUAAACCAUUGGGAGUCUCCCGCGUGAGUUCGAAUCUCACCCUCGUCG